AGAGUUUGAUCCUCGGCUCAGGACGAACGCUGGCGGCGUGCCUAACACAUGCAAGUCGAGCGGGGACUUCGGUCCUAGCGGCGGACGGGUGAGUAACACUGGGUAACCUGCCUUGUAGAGGGGGAUAGCCUUCCGAAAGGAAGAUUAAUACCGCAUAACAUUGAGAUAUCGCAUGAUAUUUUAAUCAAAGGAGCAAUCCGCUACAAGAUGGACCCGCGGCGCAUUAGCUAGUUGGUGAGGUAACGGCUCACCAAGGCCACGAUGCGUAGCCGGCCUGAGAGGGUGAACGGCCACAUUGGAACUGAGACACGGUCCAGACUCCUACGGGAGGCAGCAGUGGGGAAUAUUGCACAAUGGGCGAAAGCCUGAUGCAGCAACGCCGCGUGAGUGAUGAAGGCCUUCGGGUUGUAAAGCUCUGUCUUCUGGGACGAUAAUGACGGUACCAGAGGAGGAAGCCACGGCUAACUACGUG
This 472-nucleotide ribosomal RNA is filed under the name uncultured Clostridium sp. RNAcentral's name for it is "bacterial SSU rRNA". It matches the Rfam family "Bacterial small subunit ribosomal RNA", at positions 8 to 507 of the family's 1533-position model. The record is from RNAcentral. Lineage: Bacteria; Bacillati; Bacillota; Clostridia; Eubacteriales; Clostridiaceae.